RNAcentral lists this long non-coding RNA (210 nucleotides) under Prunus persica (peach). Its description in RNAcentral is "long non-coding RNA (PPER_LNC001125)". The record is from RNAcentral. Lineage: Eukaryota; Viridiplantae; Streptophyta; Magnoliopsida; Rosales; Rosaceae.
CCGGACCGGAGUUGAAAGAGCACUCCUGAAACCGCCAACUCCACCAUGAGUCGGCGAAUAUCCUCCACCACGUUCCCAAUAUUGCUCCACCAAGUAUUCCUUUCCUUAAGCAUGCUCACAGCUUCCUUUGAGUUAGAUGCAAUAACAAAAUGACUGAUUCUGAUGGCUCGCAUUAGGAGUCCCUCCCUUAUGGUUGUUAGCUCAGUUCCA